UACGGAGGGGGCUAGCGUUGUUCGGAAUUACUGGGCGUAAAGCGCACGUAGGCGGCUUUGUAAGUUAGAGGUGAAAGCCCGGGGCUCAACCUGGGAAUGGCAUUGGAAACUGGCUUGCUAGAGUGUGGCAGAGGGGGGUGGAAUUCCGCGUGUAGCAGUGAAAUGCGUAGAGAUGCGGAGGAACACCGAUGGCGAAGGCAGCCCCCUGGGCUGACACUGACGCUCAGGCACGAAAGCGUGGGGAGCAAACAGG
Molecule: ribosomal RNA, 253 nt
Filed under: uncultured bacterium
Lineage: Bacteria
Description: partial 16S ribosomal RNA
Rfam family: Bacterial small subunit ribosomal RNA
Source: RNAcentral